This 440-nucleotide ribosomal RNA is filed under the name uncultured bacterium. RNAcentral describes it as "partial 16S ribosomal RNA". It matches the Rfam family "Bacterial small subunit ribosomal RNA", at positions 338 to 795 of the family's 1533-position model. The record is from RNAcentral.
CCUACGGGAGGCUGCAGUGGGGGAUAUUGCACAAUGGGGGAAACCCUGAUGCAGCGACGCCGCGUGUGGGAAGACGGUCCUCUGGAUUGUAAACCACUGUCCCCAGGGACGAAGAGGACGGUACCUGGGGAGGAAGCUCCGGCUAACUACGUGCCAGCAGCCGCGGUAAUACGUAGGGAGCGAGCGUUGUCCGGAAUUACUGGGUGAAAAGGGAGCGUAGGCGGGGAUGCAAGUUGGGUGUCAAAACUACCGGCUCAACUGGUAGUCGCACGCAAAACGGCAGCUCUUGAGUGAAGUAGAGGCAGGCGGGAGUCCUAGUGUAGCGGUGAACUGCGUAGAUAUUAGGAGGAACACCAGUGGCGAAGGCGGCCUGCUGGGCUUUUACUGACGCUGAGGCUCGAAAGUGUGGGGAGCAAACAGGAUUAGAUACCCCUGUAGUC